Molecule: ribosomal RNA, 233 nt
Filed under: uncultured anaerobic ammonium-oxidizing bacterium
Lineage: Bacteria
Description: partial 16S ribosomal RNA
Rfam family: Bacterial small subunit ribosomal RNA
Source: RNAcentral
GGAGUUAAGAAAUGUAGGAAUGUUAAUAGCAUUUCUAUUUGACUAAGGCUCCAGAGGAAGCCACGGCUAACUCUGUUCCAGCAGCCGCGGUAAUACAGAGGUGGCAAGCGUUGUUCGGAAUUAUUGGGCGUAAAGAGCACGUAGGCGGCCCUGCCAGUCAGUUGUGAGAGCCUUCCGCUCAACGGAAGAACGGCAGCUGAUACUACAGGGCUAGAGUACGGGAGGGGAGAGUG